This 4013-nucleotide long non-coding RNA is filed under the name Medicago truncatula (barrel medic). Its description in RNAcentral is "long non-coding RNA (MTRU_LNC001283)". The record is from RNAcentral. Lineage: Eukaryota; Viridiplantae; Streptophyta; Magnoliopsida; Fabales; Fabaceae.
CGACUUGUAGAAAUUGUUCGUAAUGUUGGUGUGUCCUGAAAGGAGCGAAUUGUGAACCCGGUGAUAUUGCUAAUGCUGCACUUUUCCUUGCACGGGCAUAAUUUGGUUGUGGAUGGAGGUUUCACAUCUUUUAAGAAUUUGGAGUUUCCUGCACCAGAUCAAGUGCAUUAGAAAGAUAUUCUGCUUUCAAUUUUUAAAGCUUGUUUAAAGGGGUGGAUUGAAAGAGCUUAUUUAGAUUUGUAUAACAAUAAUAAAUAUAUAAGGCUAGAAAUGCAAAACUCAUUAAAAAUAGCUCAUUAUAUAACUAUAUGGUGAUUUCAGCAUAUUUUUCUAAUUUCUCCAAGAUAACUUACAAUAACAAAUUAUUCAGAACUUGUGCGGAGUUUGCCUUUAUUCCCCAUCUAAUUGUAGAAACAUCUUACACAUAAGGCUUUAUACAAUAAACACUUAAUAAGUGAUUAAUGAACUUGUCGAUCCAAACAUCCCCUUAAAGUUGAGUCAAAUUCACCUUUUCAAUGCUCUUGACCAUCAUGCCAUGUGAGUAGCAUCUCUGAACAGGGUUAGGUUCCUACCAAAAGGUUGGAUGCCAAUUCAAGGACCGAAGCUCUCUGAACGCAUGGCAUUUGAAUCCAGUCUGUAGGGAAAACAAGAGUGACUGAAGCUCUCAGAGCACUCUACAGUUUGAUUGUAGAUAGAUAAAAUGACUUCUUAAAAAGUAAUAUUAAGGAGGUGGUGAUAGAACUUUUUUUUUUUAUCAUGAACAAGUACAAAUAUCCUUCUCCCAAUAAAGUUAGAAAUUUGUGAAAGUUGCUGAAAGUGAUCAAAUCCUAUACAUUAGUUCUUCAAAAAUAGGAACAUAAAGAAUACCAUGGCCACGGUAAGCUAGCAGCUUAACUAAAAAACGGAUUUUCGUAUCAUUCAACAUUAAAUAAUGUAUGCAUCUAUAUGUAUUUUGAAGAAAAACAUAAGAAGAAAUGAGACAUCUCAUUCUGUUAAAUGAGCGACAAUUUCACAUUUGCUUAGCAUAACAUGCCACUGAUGAAUCAAACUUGAAGACAUUAAAAUUGUUGUAAAUUGAUCUAGCCUAUUAUUAUUUAUGAAAACAAAAAUACUAAAUUCAGUGUUGUGAAUUUUAAGGAGAAAUAAAUUGGAAGCAAUGGAUAAUUGGCCUGUCUUUGUUUAACUGUUGUCUUGCAUUUCAGUAGACAUUAGAAUAGAGAUCUAUCUAUAAAAGAAGUGGAUUAGAGUCCAUACUCCAGAGUCUAGACUUCAUUCGACACCUCGGAAUUUAUUAACUAGCGAACAUGUCUUGCAAAGAGGUAUACAUGGCUCAUAAAUCAAUUGUAUAGAUUACAUCAAAAUACAAACCACUGUGACGUAAUUCCUACUGCUUGGUUGCAGGUUGGUCGCCAAACUUCCUCUCGGCUGGUUUGGUAAAUGGGUCCUGGAAAGUACAAUAAAAGACGUAAAUUACAAUCACAUAAUAUUUAACUCUUCAGGGAAAAACGCAACCAAAAUAUUGUGGAUAGGAGAGAGAUAACAACUUCAAAACAUUAGCAUAUAAACCAUUCAAAGAACUGUUAUUGUUCAUCUAAGUAACCUCACCUAGCAGAAUAACAGUUAUUGUAGGUAUUACUGCAAAAUGGAUAGUCCUUGAAUUGGACCUUACUAAUAGUGUGUUUGGUUGGGCCUGUACAAAAUCUCGUGUCCCAAUGCUCAUAAAACGUGAAAAUACAAUUGAACAGCAUAAAAUCAAGAACUGAGUCCCUAUUUGGAUUGGCUUAUUUGAACUUAUUACCUGGCAAAGCACUUGUGAGGCUGUUGAGAAGAACUUAUAAAAACAACUUAUGACACGUUCAUAAACUGUCUUCAGCUGAUUUCAUCUAGCUAUCCAGAACUUAUACAAAAACAGUUUUUCUUUGUGGCUUUGCUGUAAAUUUGGGUUCAUGUUCUGUGAUUAAAGCGGAGCUUUGGGCAGUUGUUUGGAGUCUACAACUUGUAAAGGAGAAAGGGACAGAUCCUCUGUUAACAGUUAAUGCCAUCAACUCAGGUCGUGUGUUGACCCACGCUUGUCACGGUUUGGUCAGGAUGGUUGAGGUCUUGAGGAUUUAAUGGUCAAUUUUGAUCAUGUCAGAAUUAACCUCAAGAGAGGCUAACCAAGUGGCGGAUAGUCUAGCUAAAUUAGGGCCCUUUUUUUUUUUUUGAAACAGCUAAUAUUAUUCUCGACGAGAUGUGCAAGACGCACAAAAACUCGCAGAAGGAGCCAAAAAUGGCUAAAACCAAGGCGCCGUAUAUAGGCGGAACACCUUCUAAAACACCUUAAACCACACUACCUUGCAAACAAAUAACCAAGAGGCCAGGCCAAAAAUCAAAACAGCAUCACAACAGUACAAAUUGUGAGGCUGGAAUAUACAUACAGCAAGAAGGAAAGCAUUACUUAAUUCUAUGCCCAAGAAACUAGCUACUGCUCCGUAAAAGCCCAAGAAAGAAAAAGCAUACCCCUGCCUCGCUAUCAGCACGAAAUUGAUGAAAAUCUAUCAACAAGGCUACCACACUUCCAGCAACUCCCCAGGAUACCAACACAAAAACGCCCACAGCAGAAAACAGGAGCACAGACAAGCCAAAAAAGGCUCCUCCACAACCGAUCACUAUGACAGCAGCCCCUCCAAAUGAGUAGCAGUAGGGAUUAGCCAAGGCACCUACAUCAAAAAAACCCCACAGCAAACUAUUUUCUCAACAGGCAAUCAUUCGGAUUCCAACUCCAUUCGUAGUACAGACAAGUCAUAAUUUUUAGUCCAUUCAAGCACCACCGCCACGAUAGCACUUUAAUAUCCUCCACAAUAGAGUCCACAUCUUUCGACUCAUUGUUGAAAAUAAUUUGAUUCCUAGCUUGCCAAAUACCCCAAACCGUUGCAUGCCAUAUAAGCCUAAGACCUCUCCGAAUCCUCUUACGCCAUAUAAAUUAGGUCCCUUGUAGAAUGUUUAUGUCCGUUGCUGCUUUUAUUUCUAACUCUCUUUUGGGAGAUGCUCACUUUGUAACCUUCCCAAGGGGAUUUUAAUUUAGUUUUUCUUCUGGUGGGCCUUAUGCUAUGUACUUAUGCUAUAAACUGCAAAUUUAGGUACUUAUAUAUCUAAACAGGACCUAAAUCAAAGACUAAAUCAAACAUGGUUCUCUUGUAUAAUCCUCCUAUCUUAGUGACUAAUCCUAAUAUGCAAUACAUUAAGGGAUUAAAUCACUCCUUCCAUAACUAUAUAUUAAAACUAUGCUUAGACUUCGGCUAGAAAAUUAAUCAGCAACGUGAAAUCACUUAAUUAGUCAAUAAAAUACUUGUAUGCAACAAGCUAUUGCAAUUGAAAUAAUAUAAGUUUGCCUACCUCAAGGAAAAAAAAUAACCAAUAAAAUACAUGUUACUACACCCAAAUCAAACUCAAUAAUGUGUUUUAAAUUCCUUGGAGGAGAAAAUCAAUCCAUAACGAAGAAGCAAAAUUAAUCAACAUGACCCAGAAUUUCAGCUUCAUUCAGAAAUAAAAAAGAAUCAAGUGAUCAUAAUUAAUGGCAGAACAUAACGAAACAACCCAAAUUACACAAUUUCAAUGACAAAUCUCAAAAUCCAACCCUCACAACCCCAAAUGAAAUUGAUUAAAUUACUGGAAACCCAGAUCAUGAAUCAUCAUUUACAUGUAUAAAAAUCAAUCUUUUUCAACAAAUAUAAACAGGGAUGAAUCAACCGCAUAAAAGGGGUGAGUGAGAGAGAAUUACAUUCUUGACCAAUAUGAAGUUGGCGACGGCGACAGUGGCCACCACGCCAGCGACGAGAGCCGUCGGACCUGUAAGGAGACUCCACCUCCGAUAGAUCAUCGUUUUCUUCUUCUUCUGACUUUUCUUCUUCCGAUUCAAUCUUUUUAUUAAAUUGAACGCUUCUCGCUCCUCUGUUUUAUUUCUCUACAUAUCAAUUUCUAAACCAUCGUUUUAUUUUAUUUUAAUUGGAAUGUUAAUUAAAUAAAUGUUUUUU